Molecule: long non-coding RNA, 861 nt
Filed under: Homo sapiens (human)
Lineage: Eukaryota; Metazoa; Chordata; Mammalia; Primates; Hominidae
Description: HSALNT0081682
Source: RNAcentral
CGCCGGUCUGCUUUUCUUUUUUAACUGUGAAAUACAUCAAGGACAGAGAAGAAUACGUGAAAUAUAUGUGCAGCUAAAAAGAGUCAUAAAGUGAACAUCCACCUAACAACCCAAAUCAAGAUAUAGAACUUGGCCAGCACCCAAAAGUCCCCCGACUCCCUCUCCCACUAGAGAGAAUAACCAUUCAUCUUGACUUUUACAAGAAUAAUUUCCUUGCUUUUCUUUGCAGUUCUACCAUCCAUGAAUGCAAGCUUUGCUCACUUUUGAAUUUUAUGAAGGAAACAAAGAAAGACAUUUUCAGACAAAGAAGACAAAGAGUUUACGACCAGGAGAAGCUUGCUAAAGGGAAUUCUAAGGGGCAUAUUUUAAAAAAAGAAAAAUGAUCCCAUAUGGAGAGCCAGAAAUGAUGAAGGAAUGAAGAACACAGGAAGCUCUAAAUGUGUUGAUAAAUCUAACAAACAUUGACUGUAUAAAACAAAAAUAAUGAUGUCUUUGGGGAUUAAAAAAUAAAUGAUAGAAAUGUAAUUAGUUUAAUCUCUAUGGAGGGAAAUUUAGCAUUACUGUACUUAUCAAAAUUACAAAUGUACAUAUCCUUUGAUUUAGCAAUUCCACAAAGAAUUGUAGGAAUUUAUUUGAAGGUUGAGUAUUUCUUAUUGUAAUUAGUCUUCACAUUGUUUUGACUGCAGGCAAGGAUAUUUCAGAUAUGUGAGCGCUUACUGGAACCAACGAAAUUCUUAAGUUGUAUAAUUCUUCCAAAUUCUUUGAUAAUUCCUGGUUCAAUCUGUGUUUACCCCCACUAAAUUUAUGACUACUUCUGUUUCUAAAUGCUUUACAAUUGAAUCACAAUUAAAUGUAAUGAGA